UGGGGAAUAUUGGGCAAUGGGGGAAACCCUGACCCAGCAACGCCGCGUGAGGGAAGAAGGUUUUCGGAUUGUAAACCUCUGUCCUUGGUGAAGAAAGAGAUGACGGUAGCCAAGGAGGAAGCCCCGGCUAACUACGUGCCAGCAGCCGCGGUAAGACGUAGGAUGCAAGCGUUGUCCGGAUUUAUUGGGCGUAAAGAGUUCGUAGGUGGUUUAUCAAGUCUGGUGUUAAAGCCCGGGGCUCAACUCCGGUUCGGCACUGGAUACUGGUAAGCUAGAGUGCAGAAGAGGCAAGGGGAAUUCCCAGUGUAGCGGUGAAAUGCGUAGAUAUUGGGAGGAACACCGGUGGCGAAAGCGCCUUGCUGGGCUGUUACUGACGCUGAGGAACGAAAGCCAGGGGAGCGAAUGGG
RNAcentral lists this ribosomal RNA (407 nucleotides) under uncultured prokaryote. RNAcentral describes it as "bacterial SSU rRNA". It matches the Rfam family "Bacterial small subunit ribosomal RNA", at positions 355 to 776 of the family's 1533-position model. The record is from RNAcentral.